This 254-nucleotide ribosomal RNA is filed under the name uncultured bacterium. Its description in RNAcentral is "partial 16S ribosomal RNA". It matches the Rfam family "Bacterial small subunit ribosomal RNA", at positions 524 to 776 of the family's 1533-position model. The record is from RNAcentral.
UACGUAGGGCGCAAGCGUUGUCCGGAAUUAUUGGGCGUAAAGAGCUCGUAGGCGGCCUGUUGCGUCCGCUGUGAAAUCCCGGGGCUUAACCCCGGGCUUGCAGUGGAUACGGGCAGGCUGGAGGCAGGCAGGGGAGAACGGAAUUCCCGGUGUAGCGGUGAAAUGCGCAGAUAUCGGGAGGAACACCGGUGGCGAAGGCGGUUCUCUGGGCCUGUACUGACGCUGAGGAGCGAAAAGCGUGGGGAGCGAACAGG